UUUAUUGAACCUUUCCUGUAUUGAUGUAUUGAUGGGCAUUUAUAGUCCUUCCAACUUUUCACAAAGUAAUUUUCCUUUUUUUUUUUUGAGACAAAGUCUUGCUCUGUCACCUAGGCUCGAGUGCAGUGGCUCGAUCUCGGCUCACUGCAACCUCUGUCACCCGGGUUCAAGUGAUUCUCCUGCCUCAGCUUCUCAAGUAGCUGGGAUUACAGGUGUUUGACCUGGUGAUGCUUUUCAUCAUCUAUAGCACCAAUACUCAGACAAAGAAGUAUAUUGAAAGGGUGCUAAGAAAUAAGAUUCGAUCAGCCUGCAUUCAAGAACAGCUGCUCCAGAGUACAUUCUCUGUUCAUUACUUAGUUCUUAAGGAUAUGUGUUCAUCCAUUCUGUCGCUGGCUCAGAGUUUGCUUCACUCUCUAGACCAGAGUAUAAUUUCAUUUGGGAGUCUCCUAUACAAAUAUGCAUUCAAGUUUUUUGACAUGUACUGCCAGCAGGUAUGUUG
This 499-nucleotide small RNA is filed under the name Pongo abelii (Sumatran orangutan). RNAcentral's name for it is "processed transcript". The record is from RNAcentral. Lineage: Eukaryota; Metazoa; Chordata; Mammalia; Primates; Hominidae.